Molecule: ribosomal RNA, 589 nt
Filed under: uncultured bacterium
Lineage: Bacteria
Description: partial 16S ribosomal RNA
Rfam family: Bacterial small subunit ribosomal RNA
Source: RNAcentral
UGGGGAAUAUUGGACAAUGGGCGAAAGCCUGAUCCAGCAAUGCCGCGUGUGUGAAGAAGGCCUUCGGGUUGUAAAGCACUUUAAGUUGGGAAGAAAAAAGCUCUGGCUAAUAUCUAGAGCCUUGACGGUACCAACAGAAUAAGCACCGGCUAACUCUGUGCCAGCAGCCGCGGUAAUACAGAGGGUGCUAGCGUUAAUCGGAUUUACUGGGCGUAAAGCGUGCGUAGGCGGUUUGAUAAGUCGAUUGUGAAAGCCCCGGGCUUAACCUGGGAAUUGCAGUUGAUACUGUCAGACUAGAAAACGGUAGAGGGAGGCGGAACUCCAGGUGUAGCGGUGAAAUGCGUAGAUAUCUGGAAGAACACCGAUGGCGAAGGCAACCUCCUGGGCCUGUUUUGACGCUGAGGCACGAAAGCGUGGGUAGCAAACAGGAUUAGAUACCCUGGUAGUCCACGCCGUAAAACGUGAGAACUUGACGUUGGUUGCUUAGCAAAUCGGUGUCGUAGCUAAACGCGAUAAGUUCUCCGCCUGGGGAGUACGGACCGCAAGGUUGAAACUCAAAUGAAUUGACGGGGGUCAUAGCUGUUUUCCU